GAGCUGCUCUAACGGUCCGGGGAGGGGUGGGGGGGAGCGUGAAUCGUGGUUUCGAGCGGCCUGGGACACUGAAGGAUGUAAUGUUCAGGCGGUCAACACCAGCUUUAUAACGAGGUAGCGCGUUAAUUAGUGAAGACCAGCUUCAGGACAAAGUGUCCUGUUCAGUAACAUGGACCUUUCGGUCCAACUCAGUACAGGUGGACCUCCUGGUAUCUGGGGACAUGAACCUCCACACUGUCACCAUCUGAUGAAGACAGUGACAGGGUGUUCUGACAGCUUGUUGGACGGAGAGCUGCUGAAUUAACCCUAACUGUGCUUUAAAAACAUUAGUAGAAAAACGACCACAAACCCCCGCUAUAAUAACUUCGCUAUUCUUCCGCCUUCUACAUGUAAUGUUUAAUAUUCGGGGUCCUGCUUCAUCCCCGUCCUCUCCUUCCUUUUCGUCCUCAGCUCAACUCUGGCCUCCGUCCGCCCCCUUCAUCGAGCAGGUCCGACUUGAGCCUAGCCUGCGAGCUAACGCUCCGCUGCACCGUGUCCCCGACCCAUCGCUCACGUUCCGCCCGGUAAAGUUUUUAGAUCCGGUCCCUCGGACCGCUUACCCACUGAAGAAGAGCGAAGGGGGGGUCUAGUCCGGAGCGGGACCUCGUGCAGGGUCCUGUUUGUUGACGUGCAGGCGGUCUUCAAUGGAGUCCACGCGCAGAGCUCGGGUCCCGUCCCCGUGGUUACAUACAUCAGCAGGGUCUCCGGCUCGUGCGUCUCAGGGGGGGCAGAGAGGAGCACAUGGGCGGGGGAAGAGACCUGGACCCCCGACGCGAACGGGAGGCGGAGGAAGCCUCCAGGCCUGGCACCGCUCUAGCAGGACGGGCCAGAGGCCGGCGCUGUCUCUUCGUUCGGGAUUACCGUCGUCUCUGGGGGCCAAGUCUAUACGGGUCAAAGGCAAACAUCCAGCCAGCGGCAGGGACCAGGGACCAGGGUUAGUGAGGAGGGGGUAGGACGGCCCUCGGGGUCUGGGGCCGGUCAAGGACAUAUGUUGGUCAUUAACUUGUCAUGGUAUUUAGCAGAGACUUUCAUCCCUAUUGAGAUAUAGCUUGAGGCCCUUUGGGAGCAUAAAGAGGUUAGUUUAAAAGCUCAUGCUAACAUACAGCUUGAAUAUGGACGUUGGAGUUGAAGUGUGUAGUCUGGUGGUGAGUAUGUGGUGAUCUGUAGGGAUAAGCAUUGUGUGGUUCUCCUUAGAAGGGACAGGGACAAGCAGGUACACUAGAUGUUACAUCUGUUGGGAUCUCGGCUGAGCAGCAGUAAGAGUCUGGGAGGAUUACGUUGCUUCAUUCUUCUCACGUCGCUGAUCCUGUCAGGAACCGAGUAUUACUGGAUAAGAAGAUAUUAAAUAGCAUGCAGACAUAAUUUGUUUUCUCCCAUGACCACGUCCCCCCAAUUUGAUAUUGCAAAUACGUAACAUGCCACAAAAGACUGAAGAAAAGGUAUUCAUGUUUAUAUUAGCUUUAUUAAAUAAUGUGACAGCCUCCAUAAUCCAAUGUUGUUUUACAAAUGAACCAUAACGCUGUGAUUUGCUACAUGGAUUGAACUGGGUUGCGUCAUAUAGAGAAGUGGUGAUAUAAUUGAGAACCUAUUUUUAUCCAUCUUUAAAAUAGUUUCACAAACCGAGAUGUUAUCAGUGAUUUACAUUGCAUGUUUUUGUCCACUUGUUUGGGGUUUUGGCUUUGAGACCCAUGCCUCACAGGUACAAAGCCUGUGUGAUAUAUUUAUGUUGGACACAUUAUUCUGUUGGCUAAUACCUUUCUCUUAAUGACACAUCAUAUUGUAAAACCAAUUCUUCCUACAGCCACACAACAUGUACAAAAGAGUUUUUCCCACAGCAAAAUAAAGCAAAGCUGAAUGUCU
Gadus morhua (Atlantic cod) is the source of this 1899-nucleotide long non-coding RNA. RefSeq lists it as uncharacterized. The transcript has 2 exons. The record is from RefSeq and is a predicted model, not a curated record. NCBI's taxonomy places the organism in Eukaryota, Metazoa, Chordata, Actinopteri, Gadiformes, Gadidae.